UACGGGAGGCAGCAGUGAGGAAUAUUGGACAAUGGUCGGAAGACUGAUCCAGCCAUGCCGCGUGAAGGCUAAGGUCCUAUGGAUUGUAAACUUCUUUUGUACGAGAGGAAUUAGGCGGACGAGUCCGUCGACGACAGUAUCGUACGAAUAAGCAUCGGCUAACUCCGUGCCAGCAGCCGCGGUAAU
This 186-nucleotide ribosomal RNA is filed under the name uncultured rumen bacterium. Its description in RNAcentral is "partial 16S ribosomal RNA". It matches the Rfam family "Bacterial small subunit ribosomal RNA", at positions 340 to 524 of the family's 1533-position model. The record is from RNAcentral.